GUAUAGAUUUUCAUAGGCACAACAUUCUAUUGACAUACAUUGGGGUAAAUGAAGCAACAUAGACCUGAAAGGCCUACAAAAAGUGCACAGGUGGAGAUAUAAAGAUGACAAGGCGUGCACAUGCUCCCUAGAGAACCAGCAACAACCCAUCAGGUUUAUUUCAAUAAUGAUCCUUCCGCAGGUUCACCUACGGAAA
RNAcentral lists this unclassified non-coding RNA (196 nucleotides) under uncultured fungus. Its description in RNAcentral is "sequence contains ITS1". The record is from RNAcentral. Lineage: Eukaryota; Fungi.